GAUGAACGCUAGCUACAGGCUUAACACAUGCAAGUCGAGGGGCAGCAUGGUCUUAGCUUGCUAAGACUGAUGGCGACCGGCGCACGGGUGAGUAACACGUAUCCAACCUGCCGUCUACUCUUGGACAGCCUUCUGAAAGGAAGAUUAAUACAAGAUGGCAUCAUGAGUCCGCAUGUUCACAUGAUUAAAGGUAUUCCGGUAGACGAUGGGGAUGCGUUCCAUUAGAUAGUAGGCGGGGUAACGGCCCACCUAGUCUUCGAUGGAUAGGGGUUCUGAGAGGAAGGUCCCCCACAUUGGAACUGAGACACGGUCCAAACUCCUACGGGAGGCAGCAGUGAGGAAUAUUGGUCAAUGGGCGAGAGCCUGAACCAGCCAAGUAGCGUGAAGGAUGACUGCCCUAUGGGUUGUAAACUUCUUUUAUAAAGGAAUAAAGUCGGGUAUGCAUACCCGUUUGCAUGUACUUUAUGAAUAAGGAUCGGCUAACUCCGUGCCAGCAGCCGCGGUAAUACGGAGGAUCCGAGCGUUAUCCGGAUUUAUUGGGUUUAAAGGGAGCGUAGAUGGAUGUUUAAGUCAGUUGUGAAAGUUUGCGGCUCAACCGUAAAAUUGCAGUUGAUACUGGAUAUCUUGAGUGCAGUUGAGGCAGGCGGAAUUCGUGGUGUAGCGGUGAAAUGCUUAGAUAUCACGAAGAACUCCGAUUGCGAAGGCAGCCUGCUAAGCUGCAACUGACAUUGAGGCUCGAAAGUGUGGGUAUCAAACAGGAUUAGAUACCCUGGUAGUCCACACGGUAAACGAUGAAUACUCGCUGUUUGCGAUAUACUGCAAGCGGCCAAGCGAAAGCGUUAAGUAUUCCACCUGGGGAGUACGCCGGCAACGGUGAAACUCAAAGGAAUUGACGGGGGCCCGCACAAGCGGAGGAACAUGUGGUUUAAUUCGAUGAUACGCGAGGAACCUUACCCGGGCUUAAAUUGCAGAUGAAUUACGGUGAAAGCCGUAAGCCGCAAGGCAUCUGUGAAGGUGCUGCAUGGUUGUCGUCAGCUCGUGCCGUGAGGUGUCGGCUUAAGUGCCAUAACGAGCGCAACCCUUGUUGUCAGUUACUAACAGGUUCCGCUGAGGACUCUGACAAGACUGCCAUCGUAAGAUGUGAGGAAGGUGGGGAUGACGUCAAAUCAGCACGGCCCUUACGUCCGGGGCUACACACGUGUUACAAUGGGGGGUACAGAGGGCCGCUACCACGCGAGUGGAUGCCAAUCCCCAAAACCUCUCUCAGUUCGGACUGGAGUCUGCAACCCGACUCCACGAAGCUGGAUUCGCUAGUAAUCGCGCAUCAGCCACGGCGCGGUGAAUACGUUCCCGGGCCUUGUACACACCGCCCGUCAAGCCAUGGGAACCGAGGGUACCUGAAGUGCGUAACCGCGAGGAG
Molecule: ribosomal RNA, 1420 nt
Filed under: uncultured organism
Description: 16S ribosomal RNA
Rfam family: Bacterial small subunit ribosomal RNA
Source: RNAcentral